UGGGCCUUUGUGAGCAAGAUGCGUCACUUAUUGCAACAACUGGCCUGCAAAGUCCCAGU
RNAcentral lists this microRNA precursor (59 nucleotides) under Scyliorhinus torazame (cloudy catshark). RNAcentral's name for it is "Sto-Mir-193-P1b_pre stem-loop". Lineage: Eukaryota; Metazoa; Chordata; Chondrichthyes; Carcharhiniformes; Scyliorhinidae. The record is from RNAcentral.